GAUGAAGAACGUAGCGAAAUGCGAUACGUAAUGUGAAUUGCAAAUUCAGUGAAUCAUCGAGUCUUUGAACGCACAUUGCGCCCCCUGGUAUUCCGGGGGGCAUGCCUGUCCGAGCGUCAUUGCUGCCCUCAAGCACGGCUUGUGUGUUGGGCCCCGUCCUCCGAUCCCGGGGGACGGGCCCGAAAGGCAGCGGCGGCACCGCGUCCGGUCCUCGAGCGUAUGGGGCUUUGUCUCCCGCUCUGUAGGCCCGGCCGGCGCUUGCCGAUCAACCCAAAUUUUUAUCCAGGUUGACCUCGGAUCAGGUAGGGAUACCCGCUGAACUUAAGCAUAUCAAUAAGCGGAGGA
Molecule: unclassified non-coding RNA, 345 nt
Filed under: soil metagenome
Description: partial contains 5.8S ribosomal RNA, internal transcribed spacer 2, and large subunit ribosomal RNA
Rfam family: 5.8S ribosomal RNA (bases 1-119)
Source: RNAcentral